This 28-nucleotide non-coding RNA is filed under the name Bombyx mori (domestic silkworm). The record is from RNAcentral. Lineage: Eukaryota; Metazoa; Arthropoda; Insecta; Lepidoptera; Bombycidae.
UACACUGUGGUACUUAUGUUGUGGUGUA